GCGACAACUCUAUAUAUAAAGUAACAAUGUCUUACUACAUUUGAUUGGCUGUGUAACUACGCCAUAAUAGAACAAAACUACUGUUGAUCGGUUAAUAACGUCAUAAUAUAAAAUUCAUUGUUGUUGACUGGCUCCGACGUAAUAGAAAUUAACUAUAAUUGAUUGUCUCAGUACCAACACCAUAGUAUAUCAUGACUACUAUCGACUUGCUGUCGAAGCAUAUAUCAUCACUAUUUUUUGAUUGGCUGAGAAAUAAUCGUUUCUGAUUCCAUAGCUCUCUAAGCACAAGAGAAUGAAUACAGUUGAAAUAUUACUCUAACUCCAAAUAACUUAUCUCUUUUUAAUUUCGGUAUUGGUCUGCAGCAAUGCUGGGGUACCACCUCGAAAGGCUUUAAUCAAAUAAACCCACCUCGCCUGGCACAUAUUCCAUCGGUCUCUUUUGCCGAACCAUUAAGUUUCGGGAGCGUAUUCUGACAUGACAACCAAAAUCAUUGAAUAAUAUAUCAGAAAUGCCGUUGUCGUGUUGCUACGAAGUAAAA
Long non-coding RNA from Octopus bimaculoides (California two-spot octopus), 539 nucleotides. RefSeq lists it as uncharacterized. Lineage: Eukaryota; Metazoa; Mollusca; Cephalopoda; Octopoda; Octopodidae. The record is from RefSeq and is a predicted model, not a curated record.